GAGUUUGAUCUUGGCUCAGGAUGAACGCUAGCGGCAGGCCUAACACAUGCAAGUCGAGGGGUAGAGGGUGCUUGCACCCUUGAGACCGGCGCACGGGUGCGUAACGCGUAUGCAACCUACCUAUUGCAGGGGAAUAGCCCAGGGAAACUUGGAUUAAUGCCCCAUAGCCCACAUUGAGAGCAUUCGAUAUGUGGUAAAGAUUCAUCGGCAAUAGAUGGGCAUGCGUCCUAUUAGCUAGUUGGUGCGGUAACGGCGCACCAAGGCUGCGAUAGGUAGGGGCCCUGAGAGGGGGAUCCCCCACACUGGUACUGAGACACGGACCAGGCUCCUACGGGAGGCAGCAGUGAGGAAUAUUGGACAAUGGGGGCAACCCUGAUCCAGCCAUGCCGCGUGAGUGAUGAAGGCCUUCGGGUUGUAAA
RNAcentral lists this ribosomal RNA (419 nucleotides) under uncultured Flavobacterium sp. Its description in RNAcentral is "partial 16S ribosomal RNA". It matches the Rfam family "Bacterial small subunit ribosomal RNA", at positions 9 to 429 of the family's 1533-position model. The record is from RNAcentral. Lineage: Bacteria; Pseudomonadati; Bacteroidota; Flavobacteriia; Flavobacteriales; Flavobacteriaceae.